UAUGAUGCUGGCGUAAUGGUUGUAAGCGGCCUGUCUUGAAACACGGACCAAGGAGUCUAACAUCUGUGCGAGUGUUUGGGUGUCAAACCCGUACGCGUAAUGAAAGUGAACGGAGGCGGGAACCCCUCGGGGUGCACCGUCGACCGAUCCUGAUGUCUUCGGAUGGAUUUGAGUAAGAGCAUAGCUGUUGGGACCCGAAAGAUGGUGAACUAUGCCUGAAUAGGGUGAAGCCAGAGGAAACUCUGGUGGAGGCUCGCAGCGGUUCUGACGUGCAAAUCGAUCGUCAAAUUUGGGCAUAGGGGCGAAAGACUAAUCGAACUAUCUAGUAGCUGGUUCCUGCCGAAGUUUCCCUCAGGAUAGCAGUAACGUUUUCAGUUUUAUGAGGUAAAGCGAAUGAUUAGAGGCCUGGGGGUUGAAACAACCUUCACCUAUUCUCAAACUUUAAAUAUGUAAGAAGUCCUUGUUACUUAGUUGAACGUGGACAUUUGAAUGUAUCGUUACUAGUGGGCCAUUUUUGGUAAGCAGAACUGGCGAUGCGGGAUGAACCGAACGCGGAGUUAAGGUGCCGGAAUGCACGCUCAUCAGACACCACAAAAGGUGUUGGUUCAUCUAG
Molecule: ribosomal RNA, 613 nt
Filed under: uncultured Ascomycota
Lineage: Eukaryota; Fungi; Ascomycota
Description: LSU rRNA
Rfam family: Eukaryotic large subunit ribosomal RNA
Source: RNAcentral